RNAcentral lists this long non-coding RNA (735 nucleotides) under Numida meleagris (helmeted guineafowl). Its description in RNAcentral is "lncRNA (ENSNMEG00000020106.1)". The record is from RNAcentral. Lineage: Eukaryota; Metazoa; Chordata; Aves; Galliformes; Numididae.
GAGCAGCUCCACUUGUUUUAUUAGGUUUGUGCCCACAAAACCCGCUGGCAGGGGAGAUCUGGCCCCUCCUCCUGGCGAGGCAGCAGUGGGCUGGUUGUCUGCUGCCCUGUGCUCACUGAGUGUGCUGCGAUUAAUUAACCAGUAUGGCCUGAGAGCCCUAGGGGGAGCUGCCUGCCUCAGAGCUAACUGGGGACCCUGGUAUGUGGACCUGAGGACCAAAGUGAGAUGGAGGUCUCAGUGUUGUUGUCUUGAAGGUACAACGCAAGCUGGAUCUCUGCAUGGGUUUUUCAUUUGUAAAGGAUCCCAAUGAGAGUUAAUGACAUGCUGCUGCUUUUGUUUGGCAGUCCCCAGACAGGAAUGGGCCUUUCAGAGCUUGGAGUAUACCAAGGUAUCAAGGCAGAAGGCACAGCUUCACCUUCAGAGCGUGACAGAGCUGCCUCCCCUCUGGGGACUCACUCCAGGAGGCUGAAGAUUGCACAAAUGCUCAUGAGAAGUUUCCAGUGCUUGCUACAUAAAACACCACUGAGUCAGGGAGCUCUCUGGUGGUACCCUCGGGCUUCUUUUGGCAUGGCUGACUGUCCCACUAGCCAUCUCUCUAGCCAAAGCUCAUUUUCCAAGAGAUACUGAGGGAGAGGCAUGGGUGCAAUGACAGAGCUGAGAAAUGUGUUUGGCCAUGCAGGUCUCUGGGAACUUCCUCUACUUAUUGCUGCAGAAAGCCUGAAGAGGUGGCAUGAU